RNAcentral lists this ribosomal RNA (900 nucleotides) under uncultured beta proteobacterium. RNAcentral's name for it is "bacterial SSU rRNA". It matches the Rfam family "Bacterial small subunit ribosomal RNA", at positions 8 to 898 of the family's 1533-position model. The record is from RNAcentral. Lineage: Bacteria; Pseudomonadati; Pseudomonadota; Betaproteobacteria.
AGAGUUUGAUCCUGGCUCAGAUUGAACGCUGGCGGCAUGCCUUACACAUGCAAGUCGAACGGCAGCAUGAUCUAGCUUGCUAGAUUGAUGGCGAGUGGCGAACGGGUGAGUAAUACAUCGGAACGUGCCCUGUAGUGGGGGAUAACUAGUCGAAAGAUUAGCUAAUACCGCAUACGACCUGAGGGUGAAAGUGGGGGACCGCAAGGCCUCAUGCUAUAGGAGCGGCCGAUGUCUGAUUAGCUAGUUGGUGGGGUAAAGGCCCACCAAGGCGACGAUCAGUAGCUGGUCUGAGAGGACGAUCAGCCACACUGGGACUGAGACACGGCCCAGACUCCUACGGGAGGCAGCAGUGGGGAAUUUUGGACAAUGGGGGCAACCCUGAUCCAGCAAUGCCGCGUGUGUGAAGAAGGCCUUCGGGUUGUAAAGCACUUUUGUCCGGAAAGAAAUCGCACUUACUAAUAUUAGGUGUGGAUGACGGUACCGGAAGAAUAAGGACCGGCUAACUACGUGCCAGCAGCCGCGGUAAUACGUAGGGUCCAAGCGUUAAUCGGAAUUACUGGGCGUAAAGCGUGCGCAGGCGGUUGUGCAAGACCGAUGUGAAAUCCCCGGGCUUAACCUGGGAAUUGCAUUGGUGACUGCACGGCUAGAGUGUGUCAGAGGGGGGUAGAAUUCCACGUGUAGCAGUGAAAUGCGUAGAGAUGUGGAGGAAUACCGAUGGCGAAGGCAGCCCCCUGGGAUAACACUGACGCUCAUGCACGAAAGCGUGGGGAGCAAACAGGAUUAGAUACCCUGGUAGUCCACGCCCUAAACGAUGUCAACUAGUUGUUGGGGAUUCAUUUCCUUAGUAACGUAGCUAACGCGUGAAGUUGACCGCCUGGGGAGUACGGUCGCAAGAUUAAA